RNAcentral lists this non-coding RNA (81 nucleotides) under uncultured Romboutsia sp. RNAcentral's name for it is "Cyclic di-GMP-I riboswitch". It matches the Rfam family "c-di-GMP-I riboswitch aptamer". From Rfam's summary of the family: GEMM was predicted in a large-scale screen for bacterial structured RNA regulatory elements. Lineage: Bacteria; Bacillati; Bacillota; Clostridia; Peptostreptococcales; Peptostreptococcaceae. The record is from RNAcentral.
UUUAAUAGGCAAACCUAGGGAAAUUUAGGGACGCAAAACUAUAGGGGCUAAAGUUUUUAACUAUGCCAGCCAGCUGCCGAA